RNAcentral lists this long non-coding RNA (847 nucleotides) under Sarcophilus harrisii (Tasmanian devil). Its description in RNAcentral is "lncRNA (ENSSHAG00000031245.1)". Lineage: Eukaryota; Metazoa; Chordata; Mammalia; Dasyuromorphia; Dasyuridae. The record is from RNAcentral.
GGGUCAUCCCCAGCGCCGGGUCAUUCUCGUACAAGGGGAGAUUUCAUCAAAAGCUUUGCUAAAAUCCAAAGCAGCUCUCUCUGGAGCUCUCCCGUCAGCUACCAGUACAGCGAUCCUGUCCCAAGAGGAAAUGGCGAGAAUCCGGCACGACCCGUUCUUGAGAAAUUCCGACGGAUUCUUGGGAAUCAAUGCCUGUAUUUUUAGAUGACCUUCAGCCACUUCCCUUCUCUGAGACUCCUUCCUCCUCUGCAAAAGGAGGCAAUGGACAAGGUGGUCCCCGGCAUCUUUAUGUCUCUUCCACUACUUGGCCCUAUGGUGGCUGAUGGGGGACAGGUGUUCUCCGUAGCUCACCCACAAGCAUGAGUUUGUCAGGUCUCCUGAUGUCCGAGGCCCCAUGGGGGACUCAAGCAGCUCCUAACCGUCAGGCCACAGAGAGUGGCUACGCUGGCCAUCACUCACGUCCACGCCCUUCAAGGACCCCAGAUGGUGGUUGUUUUCAUGUAUCCUAACAGGUCCAGAGGUCAGGGUUCACGCUCUCAUUUUCCUGAAUUAAUUGUGUUAUGAUUGUCCCGGCUAACAGGAAGGGCUUGGGCCCUUCUACUUCUAAGCGCCUUGGGAUUUAUUUGUGGCUCUUGGGAGUGGGCUCGCUUGGACAGCUGCUGUCUUCUGACCCAGGAUGCCAGAACCACGUCCCCCUUGUGAUCUGGCACCUGAGUCUGGCAAACAUUCUUGAGCUGGUUCUGUCUGAUUUUAUCAUUGUGGACUUUGGCGAAGGCACAGAUGGUAAUGGAGGCAGAAGACCUUGACUUCCUUGGAACCUCAUUUCCUCAUCUGUGAAAUGGGGUGG